GAUGAACGCUGGCGGCGUGCCUAAUACAUGCAAGUCGAGCGAACGGACGAGAAGCUUGCUUUUCUGAUGUUAGCGGCGGACGGGUGAGUAACACGUGGAUAACCUACCUAUAAGACUGGGAUAACUUCGGGAAACCGGAGCUAAUACCGGAUAAUAUUUUGAACCGCAUGGUUCAAAAGUGAAAGACGGUCUUGCUGUCACUUAUAGAUGGAUCCGCGCUGCAUUAGCUAGUUGGUAAGGUAACGGCUUACCAAGGCAACGAUGCAUAGCCGACCUGAGAGGGUGAUCGGCCACACUGGAACUGAGACACGGUCCAGACUCCUACGGGAGGCAGCAGUAGGGAAUCUUCCGCAAUGGGCGAAAGCCUGACGGAGCAACGCCGCGUGAGUGAUGAAGGUCUUCGGAUCGUAAAACUCUGUUAUUAGGGAAGAACAUAUGUGUAAGUAACUGUGCACAUCUUGACGGUACCUAAUCAGAAAGCCACGGCUAACUACGUGCCAGCAGCCGCGGUAAUACGUAGGUGGCAAGCGUUAUCCGGAAUUAUUGGGCGUAAAGCGCGCGUAGGCGGUUUUUUAAGUCUGAUGUGAAAGCCCACGGCUCAACCGUGGAGGGUCAUUGGAAACUGGAAAACUUGAGUGCAGAAGAGGAAAGUGGAAUUCCAUGUGUAGCGGUGAAAUGCGCAGAGAUGUGGAGGAACACCAGUGGCGAAGGCGACUUUCUGGUCUGUAACUGACGCUGAUGUGCGAAAGCGUGGGGAUCAAACAGGAUUAGAUACCCUGGUAGUCCACGCCGUAAACGAUGAGUGCUAAGUGUUAGGGGGUUUCCGCCCCUUAGUGCUGCAGCUAACGCAUUAAGCACUCCGCCUGGGGAGUACGACCGCAAGGUUGAAACUCAAAGGAAUUGACGGGGGCCCGCACAAGCGGUGGAGCAUGUGGUUUAAUUCGAAGCAACGCGAAGAACCUUACCAAAUCUUGACAUCCUUUGACAACUCUAGAGAUAGAGCCUUCCCCUUCGGGGGACAAAGUGACAGGUGGUGCAUGGUUGUCGUCAGCUCGUGUCGCGAGAUGUUGGGUUAAGUCCCGCAACGAGCGCAACCCUUAAGCUUAGUUGCCAUCAUUAAGUUGGGCACUCUAAGUUGACUGCCGGUGACAAACCGGAGGAAGGUGGGGAUGACGUCAAAUCAUCAUGCCCCUUAUGAUUUGGGCUACACACGUGCUACAAUGGACAAUACAAAGGGCAGCGAAACCGCGAGGUCAAGCAAAUCCCAUAAAGUUGUUCUCAGUUCGGAUUGUAGUCUGCAACUCGACUACAUGAAGCUGGAAUCGCUAGUAAUCGUAGAUCAGCAUGCUACGGUGAAUACGUUCCCGGGUCU
Molecule: ribosomal RNA, 1372 nt
Filed under: uncultured bacterium
Lineage: Bacteria
Description: bacterial SSU rRNA
Rfam family: Bacterial small subunit ribosomal RNA
Source: RNAcentral